AGUAUGCGUUCUUCUCAGUUUACACUAUUUCUCAAGAUCUUAUAAUAGUGGUCUUAUACAAUAUUUGUCCUUUUGCCUCUGACUAAUUUCGCUCAGCAUAAUGCCUUCCAGGUUCCUCCGUGUUAUGAAAUGUUUCACAGAUUCGUCACUAUUCUUUAUCGAUGCGUAGUAUUCCAUUGUGUGAAUAUACCACAAUUUAUUUAACCGUUCAUCCGUUGAUGGACACCUUGGUUGCUUCCAGGUUUUUGCUAUUGUAAACAGAGCUGCAAUAAACAUCGGUGUGCAUAUAUCUGUUUAUGUGAAGGCUCUUAUUUCUCCAGGGUAUAUUCCGAGGAGUGGGAUUUCUGGGUUGUAUGGUAGUUCUAUUUCUAACUGUUUAAGAUAACGCCAGAUAGAUUUCCAAAGUGGUUGUACCAUUUUACAUUCCCACCAGCAGUGUAUAAGAGUUCCAAUCUCUCCACAGCCUCUCCAACAUUUAUUAUUUUGUGUUUUUUGGAUUAAUGUGAGAUGGAAUCUCAUCGUAAUUUUAAUUUGCAUUUCUCUAAUGGCUAAUGAUCGAGAGCAUUUUCUCAUGUAUCUGUUAGCUGCCUGAAUAUCUUCUUUAGUGAAGUGUGUGUUCAUAUCCUUUGCCCACUUCUUGAUUGGGUUGUUUGUCUUUUUGUGGUUGAGUUUUAACAGAAUCAUGUAGAUUUUAGAGAUCAGGCGCUGGUCGGAGAUGUCAUAGCUGAAAAUUCUUUCCCACUCUGUAGGUGGUCUUUUUACUCUUUUGAUGAAGUCUUUAGAUGAGCAUAAGUGUUUGAUUUUUAGGAGCUCCCAGUUAUCUGUUUUCUCUUCGUCAUUUUUGGUAAUGUUUUGUAUUCUGUUUAUGCCUUGUAUUAGGGCUCUUAAGGUUGUCCCUAUUUUUUCUUCCAUGAUCUUUAUCGUUUUAUUCUUUAUGUUUAGGUCUUUGAUCCACUUGGAGUUAGUUUUUGUGCAUGGUGUGAGCUAUGGGUCCUGUUUCAUUUUUUUGCAAAUGUAUAUCCAGUUAUGCCAGCACCAUUUGUUAAAAAGACUAUCUUUUCCCCAAUUAACUGACACUGGGCCUUUGUCAAAUAUCGGCUGCUCUUAUGUGGAUGAAUUUAUAUCUGGGUUCUCAAUUCUGUUCCAUUGGUCUAUGUGUCUGUUGUUGUACCAGUACCAGGCUGUUUUGACUACUGUGGCUGUAUAGUAGGUUCUGAAAUCAGGUAGAGUGAGGCCUCCCACUUUCUUCUUUUUCAGUAAUGCUUUGCUUAUCCGGGGAUUCUUUCUCUUCCAUAUGAAAUUGGUGAUUUGUUUCUCCAUCACAUUAAAAAAUGACAUUGGAAUUUGGAUUGGAAGUGCAUUAUAUGUAUAGAUGGCUAUUGGUAGGAUGGACAUUUUUACUAUGUUAAGUCUUCCUAUCCGUGAGCAAGGUAUGUUUUUCCACUUAAGUAGGUCCUUUUUAGUUUCUUGUAGUAGUACUUUGUAGUUUUCUUUGUAUAGGUCUUUUACAUCUUUGGUAAGAUUUAUUCCUAAGCAUUUUAUCUUCUUGGGGGCUACUGUGAAUGGUAUUGAUUUGAUUAUUUCCUCUUUGAUGUUCUUUUUGUUGAUGUAGAGGAAUCCAAGUGAUUUUUGUAUGUUUAUCUUAUAACCUGAGACUCUGCCGAACUCUUGUAUUAGUUUCAGUAGUUUUCUGGAGGAUUCCUUAGGGUUUUCUGUGUAUAAGAUCAUGUCAUCUGCAAAUAGAGAUAAUUUUACUUCCUCCUUGCCAAUCCGGAUGCCCUUUAUUUCUUUGUCUAGUCUAAUUGCUCUGGCUAGGACCUCAAGCACAAUGUUGAAUAAGAGCAGUGACAAAGGGCAUCCUUGUAUGUUGUAUGCUUUUAAAAAAUUUGUGUUUUUUUAGAUGGUGCCUGGCUACCACCACCGACUACUCUGACAGGGAUCACGAUAGAGGGUCCCGGGCAGAGCUGGAGAAAAAUGUAAGACAAAAUUCUAACUCACAAAAAAGACCAGACUUACUGGCCUGACAGAGCCUGCAGAAACCCUGAGUACGGCCCCUGCACACCCUUUUAGCUCAAGAAAUGAAGUCACUCCUGAGGUUCACCCUUUACCCUUUACCUUUGGACAGACCCAUAAAGGGGCACACCAGCCCAGGGGCAAGGACUAGAAGGCAGGAGGGGACAGGAAAGCUGGUAAUACGGAACCCAAGUUCAAGAAGGGAGAGUAUUGACAUGUCGUGGGGUUGGUAACCAAUGUCGUAAAACAACAUGUGUACUGUUCAAUGAGAAGCAAGUUUCUUCUGUAAAUCAUCUAAAGUACAAUAAAUAAUUUGUAUUUUUUUUUUGUUUUUUCAACGUUGCUUAUUACUGGGAAAACUAUUUUAAAAGAAUACAAAUCACCUAUAAUUUCACUUUUAGAAUGAGCUUUUUAAGUUCCCUUUACAUUCAAUGAUAGCAGACCUUGCCCUUUAGACAAACACACUCACCCACCCAGGGAUCAUUUUCACUUCUCCUUUUAAAGUCUGCUACCUGAUUAUAUGGCCUCUGAAAUUCAAAUAUGCUUCAAACAAUUUUGUAAUUCAGUUAUGGCACACCUGUUUCUCCCACAUUUGAAGAUACAGAAUGAUACGGCUUUUAAAAAUAGGGUUACAUUUUAUAGGUGGUACUAGCUUAGUAGAUAAUUGUAAAUUCUAGAGCAGUGUGUAAAACUAUCCUUGUGGACAUUCAGAAAAAUUCUCUCAGUGAGCUAUACAUCCGGUUGCAUUAUAUGGACAAGGUUCAAAGUAAAGGGUAAGAGAAAGCCCCCCAGGUGGCAUAAACAGUUGUAUUUGACUGCUAAAGAUCAAUGGUUCAAACCCAUCCAGUGGUACCAGGCAAGAUAGGCCUGGUGAUCUGCUUCCAUGAAGAUUACAGCCAAGAAAAUCCUAUGGAGCAGCUCUACUCUGUAACACACGGGGUUACCAUGAGUCCACAUUGACUUGAUGGCAACUAACAAUAACAACAAGUGCUUCCUCCCUGGAAGAGAGAGCAAGAAACAAGAAGCAUAGAGGAAGGGAAAGCUCUCAACCUGGCAGAGUGGGUGGUGCUAGGCAGGGCAGCCUCCUGGAGGUGCCAGGGAAGGGACUUUGGGUCACAGUCAUACGGUCUGAGGAGCACUAACCACAAACCACUCUAAAUGUCAUCUCUGAGGUGGCGUUAUGUCAACCACCCCACACCUGCCACUGGCUUCGGUUUUGUUUUUCUUUUUUUUUUUUUUUU
Molecule: long non-coding RNA, 3254 nt
Organism: Loxodonta africana (African savanna elephant)
Lineage: Eukaryota; Metazoa; Chordata; Mammalia; Proboscidea; Elephantidae
Exons: 3
Source: RefSeq, a predicted model, not a curated record